RNAcentral lists this non-coding RNA (236 nucleotides) under Fictibacillus macauensis. RNAcentral describes it as "T-box sequence". It matches the Rfam family "T-box leader". Rfam says of the family: Uncharged tRNA acts as the effector for transcription antitermination of genes in the T-box leader family. T-boxes are found upstream of many aminoacyl-tRNA synthetase genes and some amino acid biosynthetic genes usually in Gram-positive bacteria. Lineage: Bacteria; Bacillati; Bacillota; Bacilli; Caryophanales; Fictibacillaceae. The record is from RNAcentral.
AAACACGCAAUGACAGGCAACAGUAGAAUUCUUCUCCCUGUUUCAUAGAGAGCUGAUGGUUGGUGGAAAUCAGCACAAAGAAGAAAUCGAAUUACACCCUCGAGCAUUCCUUACCUAAACGCGGUAUACCUUCCGUUGUUUAAGUAAGGACGGUGCAUAGCCGUUAUAUAAAAAGAAGUGGCGGAACUACGAUUCCGCAAUUUAGGGUGGUACCGCGAUGCACAUUCGUCCCUGCU